RNAcentral lists this ribosomal RNA (427 nucleotides) under uncultured bacterium. RNAcentral describes it as "bacterial SSU rRNA". It matches the Rfam family "Bacterial small subunit ribosomal RNA", at positions 354 to 796 of the family's 1533-position model. The record is from RNAcentral.
GUGAGGAAUAUUGGGCAAUGGGCGCAAGCCUGACCCAGCAACGCCGCGUGGAGGAAUGAAGGCCUUCGGGUUGUAAACUCCUUUUACGGGGGAAGAGGAAGGACGGUACCCCGAGAAUAAGUCACGGCUAACUACGUGCCAGCAGCCGCGGUAAUACGUAGGUGACGAGCGUUAUCCGGAAUUACUGGGCGUAAAGCGCACGCAGGCGGCUUGCUAAGUCUGACGUGAAAUCUCUCGGCUUAACCGGGAGGGGUCGUUGGAGACUGGCGGGCUUGAGGCGAUGAGAGGGGUGUAGAAUUCCCGGUGUAGUGGUGGAAUGCGUAGAUAUCGGGAGGAAUACCAGUGGCGAAAGCGACACCCUGGCAUUAGCCUGACGCUCAGGUGCGAAAGCGUGGGGAGCGAACGGGAUUAGAAACCCUAGUAGUCC